CGUCGUAACAAUAUCAGUACCGGUAAUAAUUUCUAUUGAAAAUCAGUAGAGAUAUCUUUAACAAGUGAUAAAAUGAAGUACUGAUAAUAUGGGAAGAGA
Molecule: long non-coding RNA, 99 nt
Organism: Octopus sinensis (East Asian common octopus)
Lineage: Eukaryota; Metazoa; Mollusca; Cephalopoda; Octopoda; Octopodidae
Exons: 3
Source: RefSeq, a predicted model, not a curated record